Molecule: long non-coding RNA, 967 nt
Organism: Cannabis sativa
Lineage: Eukaryota; Viridiplantae; Streptophyta; Magnoliopsida; Rosales; Cannabaceae
Exons: 3
Source: RefSeq, a predicted model, not a curated record
UAAAGCCCGCUUAGUUAAUUUGGAAAUUAGCAGUUAUUUAUGUUAAUCAGGAAAUUAUUUAUAGCUAUUUAAAUAAUUUAUCAUUGUUAUUAUGGAAUUCAGAUAUGCAUAAUUAUGUUAUCAGCAGUUUUUAUAUUUCGCAUUUCCGGUGUCCGGUAUUUUGGAACGCGGCGUUUGGCUCAGUAGAAAUCACAACUUAGUAUGUUAGUAUUUUGGGGACGGGUUUUAGACAUUGGGAAUGUCGGGAAUGGCCGGGAAUUUAGAAUGUCCCAAAAAUACCCCUUUAGUGUUUUGUAUGUGGUUUUAGUAUGGAGGGGCAAAAUGGUCUUUUUGCCCCAAUGAUAUUUUGUUUUAUAUGAUUUAAUAAAUGAAAUAAAUGUUUAAAUUAUGCAUGUUAUUUGGCUGAAUGAUUUAGUGUGUAAAGGCUCUUUUUACUCAUUUCUCAUUUAACUUAGAAAAAAAAAAAAAUAGAAAAUUCAAGCAAAAAAAAACUCUCUCUCUUUUUCUCUCUUUUCGGCUGGGAAUUUGGGGUGCUAAAGCUGGGUUUUUCCUUCAAUUCUCAAAGCUAAUUCAUCCUAAUUGUGAUCCCUUGUUGUGGAGCCAGUAAUCCGCCGUUCAGCUUCAGUUCCAGUCAGGUUGACCGGCACACCUGAAAUCGGAAUCCAGGUAAAGGCAAGGCAGUUGCUGAUGGACCGUGAGCGAGCUUAUGGGAUUGUACAUGUCGGGGCGGUUAGGCCUGGAGCGUACGAUCCUCGGGACAGCAGGGCUGAGAUUUUUGUAACGGUCGUUAGAUGACCUCAUUUUGAUGUAAAAGUUGAAUAGUGAAAACGUUUGUAAAUAUUUUUAUAAAUCGGGAUCCCGAGACUUUUUGGUAAAAUGGUUUAUAAGUUUAAUGAAAAAGCAAAAUUUUAAUUAAUCACGUUUUUCCAUAAACCUCGUUGAUUAGCAACGAGCUGCACAGUACGUU